This 497-nucleotide ribosomal RNA is filed under the name uncultured bacterium. Its description in RNAcentral is "partial 16S ribosomal RNA". It matches the Rfam family "Bacterial small subunit ribosomal RNA", at positions 28 to 507 of the family's 1533-position model. The record is from RNAcentral.
GAUGAACGCUGGCGGCGUGCCUAAUACAUGCAAGUCGAGCGAACAGAUGAGGAGCUUGCUCCUCUGACGUUAGCGGCGGACGGGUGAGUAACACGUGGAUAACCUACCUAUAAGACUGGGAUAACUUCGGGAAACCGGAGCUAAUACCGGAUAAUAUAUUGAACCGCAUGGUUCAAUAGUGAAAGACGGUUUUGCUGUCACUUAUAGAUGGAUCCGCGCCGCAUUAGCUAGUUGGUAAGGUAACGGCUUACCAAGGCAACGAUGCGUAGCCGACCUGAGAGGGUGAUCGGCCACACUGGAACUGAGACACGGUCCAGACUCCUACGGGAGGCAGCAGUAGGGCAUCUUCCGCAAUGGGCGAAAGCCUGACGGAGCAACGCCGCGUGAGUGAUGAAGGUCUUCGGAUCGUAAAACUCUGUUAUUAGGGAAGAACAAAUGUGUAAGUAACUAUGCACGUCUUGACGGUACCUAAUCAGAAAGCCACGGCUAACUACGUG